AACGAACGCUGGCGGCGUGCCUAACACAUGCAAGUCGAACGAGAAAGUUUCCUUCGGGAAACCAGUUAAAGUGGCGCAAGGGGUGAGUAACACGUGAAUAAUCUACCUAUGAAUUCGGGAUAACUCGACGAAAGUUGCGCUAAUACCGGAUAAGACCACAUCUCUUAUGUGAUGUGGCCAAAGGAGUCUCAAACUUCGUUUAUAGAUGAGUUCGCGGACCAUUAGCUUGUUGGCGGGAUAAUAGCCCACCAAGGCUACGAUGGAUAGCCGGCCUGAGAGGGCGAUCGGCCACACUGGAACUGAGACACGGUCCAGACUCCUACGGGAGGCAGCAGUGGGGAAUUUUGCGCAAUGGGCGCAAGCCCUGACGCAGCAACGCCGCGUGAUUGAAG
This 392-nucleotide ribosomal RNA is filed under the name uncultured Nitrospina sp. Its description in RNAcentral is "bacterial SSU rRNA". It matches the Rfam family "Bacterial small subunit ribosomal RNA", at positions 29 to 410 of the family's 1533-position model. Lineage: Bacteria; Pseudomonadati; Nitrospinota; Nitrospinia; Nitrospinales; Nitrospinaceae. The record is from RNAcentral.